This is a long non-coding RNA of Vombatus ursinus (common wombat), 2178 nucleotides long. RefSeq lists it as uncharacterized. Lineage: Eukaryota; Metazoa; Chordata; Mammalia; Diprotodontia; Vombatidae. The transcript is spliced from 2 exons. The record is from RefSeq and is a predicted model, not a curated record.
AGAGAGUAAGGAGUCAAGGAUGACACCCAGGUUUUGAGCCUAGAUAACUGGGAGGAUAGUGAUGCCAUCAAGAGUAACAGCAAAAUUUAGAAGAGAGGAGUGUUUAGGGGGAAAACUAUUUAUUUCAGUUUUAAACAUGUUGAGUUUAAGAUGUCUAUGGGAUAUCUACUUCAAAAUGUCCAAAAGGUGAUUGGAAUUAUGAGUCUAGAGUUCAGGAGAGAGGUAGAGCUGGAUAAGUAGAUCUGAGAAUUACCAACAUAGAGAUGCUAAUUUAAUCCAUCAGGGCUGAUGAGAGCACCAAGUGAAGUAGAACAGAGGGAGAAUAGAAGAGUACAAAGCCUUGAAGAACAUUCAUGGUUAUGGGGCAUAAUCUUGAUGAAGAACCAGCAAAAAGAAUUAAGAAGAUAGGAAGAGAGUAGUGUCCAGAAAACCUAGAGAGAUAAGUGUCUCUCAAAUGUCUUUGACAGUGUCAAAGGCUACAGAGAGGUCAAGAAGAAGUGACCUUGAGGAAAGGCCACUAGAUUUGGCAAUUAAGUGAUCAAUAAUUUUGGAGAGAACAGUUUCUGUUGAACGACGACAAUGAAAGCCAGACAGUUGAAAGUUAAGAAAAGAGUGAGAGAAAAGGAAGCGGAGGCAUCCACUUAGAUGACCUUCUCAGGACUGGCCACAAAAGGAAGGAAAGAUAUGGGACAAAAGGUAGUGGGGCUUGCCAGACCAAGUGGAGUUUUUUGAGGAUGAGGAAGAUAUGGACAUGUUUAUGCACAAUAGGGAAACAGCCAAUAAACAGGGAGAGAUUGAAACUAAGUGAGAGAAUAGGGAUAAUAGAGGGCACAAUCUGCUGGAGAAGACAAGAUGGAAUGGGAUUAUUUGUGUACAUAGAGGGGUUUGCCUUGGCAUAUGAGACUGGGGUGAUGGAAAAGAUUGUAGCAGAAGGCAUCUAGGUGACACGAGAUGAGGAGGAAAAGAGAUGAAGGACCUCUGAGUGUCAAACUUUGGAGGAACAGUGGGAGAAGAGGUGCCAUUGAAGCAGCAGACACAGUGCCCUAAAAACUAAAAGCUUUUUAAAGAAACAAAUUUUAAUUGAAGAGUUGUUUUUCCAGUACCUUGUGAGGCCCCUCCUGAACUUGAGAGCAUCCUAGAGUCUCUUUUCCUUAUCUUGAGACACCCUAAAACUUCCCCCUUAUCCUAGGCCAUAAAACUUCCUUGUCUCCCUCAUCCUGAGUCAUGAAAUUUCCCAUCUUCCUUAUCCUGAGUCCCCUUUCCUGUCAUCCAUCUUCCUCAUCCUGUAUCAUGACAACCCCUCCCCUUAUCUUGUAAGAUAAAACAGACCCCUAUCCCUUGGUAAGUUGCUAGUCCUCUUUCCAGAGCUAGCCCACUGCUUUUGCGUCAAUAAAGCUCCCAAUGAUUACAGAGAAGGUCUAAGUGAACUCUUUCACACCUGAACCAGCUCUCCCAACUCUAGAUCUCAACAUAAAAUGGUGCCGAAACCUGGGAGUCCAAAUAUUAAUCGGAUUCUGCUGAUCUUCUCCUGGCCACUGGGAUAACAGAAGUUCCACUUUCAACUCUUGAGAUACCAGCCCCUACCCUUGGUGUCCCCGAGUGGUUCGCCUCUCUCCACGCUGGACUCAGCUUGCACUGCAUCCCACACCUUCACACUGAACUCCGCUCCUCAACCUAUUCCCAGCCCUUGAAAUGGACUCUUUGCCCCUGUACAGCAGGAAGCAGCUACUGAAGAUAAUGACCUUCGCCCCUAGUGUUUGAGUUUCUCCUGCCUGGUGUUUGAGUGGGGAAUGAAGCAGAAGACAUACAGUACCCUAAAAACUAAAAGCUUUUUAAGGAAACAAAUUUUAAUUGAGUUGUUUUUCCAGCACCUUAUGAGGCCCCUCCUGAACUUGAGGGCAUCCUAGAGUCUCUUUUCCUUAUCUUGAGACACCCUAAAACUUCCCCCUUAUCCUAGACCAUAAAACUUCCUUGUCUCCCUCAUCCUGAGUCAUGAAAUUUCCCAUCUUCCUUAUCCUGAGUCCCCUUUCCUGUCAUCCAUCUUCCUCAUCCUGUAUCAUGACAACCCCUCCCCUUAUCUUGUAAGAUAAAACAGACCCCUAUCCCUUGGUAAGUUGCUAGUCCUCUUUCCAGAGCUAGCCCACUGCUUUUGCGUCAAUAAAGCUCCCAAUGAUUACA